Molecule: ribosomal RNA, 393 nt
Filed under: uncultured bacterium
Lineage: Bacteria
Description: bacterial SSU rRNA
Rfam family: Bacterial small subunit ribosomal RNA
Source: RNAcentral
AUUGAACGCUGGCGGCAUGCCUUACACAUGCAAGUCGAACGGCAGCGCGGGGCAACCUGGCGGCGAGUGGCGAACGGGUGAGUAAUAUAUCGGAACAUACCCUAGAGUGGGGGAUAACGUAGCGAAAGUUACGCUAAUACCGCAUACGCACUAAGGUGGAAAGUGGGGGAUUCGCAAGAACCUCAUGCUCAUGGAGUGGCCGAUAUCUGAUUAGCUAGUUGGUGAGGUAAAGGCUCACCAAGGCAACGAUCAGUAGCUGGUUUGAGAGAACGACCAGCCACACUGGAACUGAGACACGGUCCAGACUCCUACGGGAGGCAGCAGUGGGGAAUUUUGGGACAAUGGGGGCAACCCUGAUCCAGCAAUGCCGCGUGAGUGAAGAAGGCCUGGUGU